AAACUUUCAACAACGGAUCUCUUGGUUCUGGCAUCGAUGAANAACGCAGCAA
RNAcentral lists this ribosomal RNA (52 nucleotides) under Balansia asclerotica. RNAcentral's name for it is "Balansia asclerotiaca partial 5.8S ribosomal RNA". It matches the Rfam family "5.8S ribosomal RNA", at positions 1 to 51 of the family's 154-position model. From Rfam's summary of the family: 5.8S ribosomal RNA (5.8S rRNA) is a component of the large subunit of the eukaryotic ribosome. It is transcribed by RNA polymerase I as part of the 45S precursor that also contains 18S and 28S rRNA. Lineage: Eukaryota; Fungi; Ascomycota; Sordariomycetes; Hypocreales; Clavicipitaceae. The record is from RNAcentral.